CACUCAAAAAGGUGCCAUUCAGGUAAAUUAAAAUAUGAUUGGCACUUUUUUGAGUGCA
This 58-nucleotide microRNA precursor is filed under the name Cavia porcellus (domestic guinea pig). The record is from RNAcentral. Lineage: Eukaryota; Metazoa; Chordata; Mammalia; Rodentia; Caviidae.